Molecule: long non-coding RNA, 2172 nt
Filed under: Cricetulus griseus (Chinese hamster)
Lineage: Eukaryota; Metazoa; Chordata; Mammalia; Rodentia; Cricetidae
Description: lncRNA (ENSCGRG00015035780.1)
Source: RNAcentral
GCUUUCUCGAGUGGGGUCGCCCUGGUUCUUCAAUGGGCGGCGUGUCGGCGGCCAUUGCGAGAAGACGCCUUUCCCACCCGUUGAGCUAGGAACGCUGUUCCAGCCCCAGCUGCCCUUCGUUACAGGGACACGUGGCCUCCAUCAGAAAUGGAGGGAGGUCGGGCCGGUAUGUCUGCAGAGAGCGAGAUUCCAAUGGGCCGCAGGCUCCACUGUUCCUGCGGAGUCAUCGCCCUGAUCCCGGGAGCCUGAGACCUCUCUACCUAACAAAACACGAUCUAGAUCACAACCAAGCAACAUAAAGUCAUCUUAACCUGUUCCCGUGCUGUUUCCUGAUUUUGGUCAUUAAAAUCAGACACAUCCCUAGCGACAGAAUUGAGAGGCCAUGUGCAGAUUUAAAAUACCCAUUUCUGUAACUCACUCAUUUUUCAUUUUCAAUAUGCUGAAAACCCCUGUAAGACUGAAGUGACUUUGAACAUCCUAAUCAUCUCUGGUUGUGUUUCGUGACCCAAAGCUUUGAAUACUGGGGAAAGAAUCAGCAUGAUUUAUCGUAGAAAGAAGUGAGACUUGGACUGGACUUCAUACAGAUAUGCAGAAUUUCUGAAGGCAGAAUUGGAAGAAGGAUUCUUGAGAUGAAGAAAAGGACUCACAUUGUGGAAGAAGAGAACUGAAUUGUGCUCCCAUCUCCACACACGUUGACAUACACGCAAUAGUAAAUGUGAAAAUUGAAUGAAAAUGAGGACAUGACGGCUCCAAGGUCACAAGCUAUCAACAAGAAGGCAGAUGUCCUGCAGCCCGCUAUUAUGGAUGGAGGACCUUGGGGAUGGCUGUCCAUGCAGCCUGCUGGCAAGUCUCUGUUAUUCUUUAAUCAUUGAUUCAGGUAAAAUCUUAUCCUUCUCAAGAACUCUGAUGCUUUUGAUGACUGGUAGUCUUGCCAGCUUAAAGCAAAAACAGAUUCCUGUUUUUGUGAAAGAUAGGAAAGUCUAAGAUGUAUGAAAGUCUGAGAAUGUAGUUACGAAGGCCUGAGGAUAAAAAGGCUUAAAUGAUGAUAAAGUGAGUUGAGACAUUAAAAAGACUGAAAUAUGUUCCGGAUUUCUCUAUUUCUCAUGCUACUGUUCAUAAUAAAGUUCACCAAUAUCACUAUAGGAUCAUAACUACAAAGUCAAGAUUAAGAUGCUUUUCAUUGUCCUAAAAAAAAAAAAUCUGUCAAUUUUAAAAUGGUAAUGCUUUUAGCCAAGUUGCUUCUAACAUAAAUAUGCUGCUAAUGUGUCUAAUACUUAUGUUUCUACAAACUCUAAUGAUUCUUGUAAGUUCCAGGGAGCUAAAUUGGAUCCAAACAAACAGGUCAGAUUCACUCCAGGUAAUAUUCAAUCUUUUCCUGGUCCCAGGACUCCCUUCCCUCAUGUUAGGACUCCUUGGGAACCCCUCCCUCAUCUUACAAUCUUCCCCUCAAGUGACAGGACCUAAGAAAAAAUUUUUUUUCUAAACUUAACCUUGUCCUCUGCUCUGUCAGCAUCUUACCAGGUCUAAGAAGCACCAGGGAGUUCCGUACAGCCUGAACUGCAAUGAAACAACCAGCUUCCCCAGGACAUGGCAGCACCCCAACCUUCUCGGGUCCCCCAAAGAUGGUCAACGCCCCCCACGUCAGCAGGAAGCAGUCUUGAGAAUUCAACACCCUUAUUCCUUAACCUGCCAUGUCUAACACCCCACCUUUUUCUAAUAAUAAGUAGAGGUGGGAAUGAAAGGUUUAGGCAUUAUGCUGGCCUGCCCCUGUUACCUGGUGGAACAGGCAGUACCCUGGUCAGCCCAAGGUUCCAUGGGAACUAAUUCUGCACACAGAUACAGAGGACCCCUUUAAAAGAUAGGUCCCUGCCCAUUUACGCUCUGUUUCUGUUCUGUUUCCUCGCUCUGCUUUCUCUCUACUCUGUCUCCUACCUAUGCGCUCUCUCUGUCUCUCUAAUCUCUAACCGGCCAUGGCGGUCAGCCAUUUACCCCUGUUCCUCUUCUUAGUCUCCCCAUUCUGUUGGGCCUUAUAAUAAACUUAUAAUCUUAUGUCUCAUGUCUCAGCAUUUCUCUUUUCUUUUUUUUUAAACAAAAGAAUAACACCAAGACUGUAGAGAGGAAAGCCUGUCUAUGGGGAAAACAAAAAUAAUAGGUAAAAUAUUUUGAUUGGAG